RNAcentral lists this long non-coding RNA (16271 nucleotides) under Triticum aestivum (bread wheat). Its description in RNAcentral is "long non-coding RNA (TAES_LNC005755)". The record is from RNAcentral. Lineage: Eukaryota; Viridiplantae; Streptophyta; Magnoliopsida; Poales; Poaceae.
GGCCUGCUUGUAAAUACGCCCGCCUUAAUAUUUCCGCUCCUCGUGUCGGGAUUUUUUGUGGCUCGCCAUUCGCCGAGGGCGGGGUCCGUGAGAAACGAGAGCCCCAGCCCGAGUGGAACCGCGUCUGCCGUCAGAUUUGCUGCCCGGACGGCCCGGAUGCUUAAAGGAAAAUUGUUGCAUCAGAGUUCGCUGUUAGCCUCGAUCAAUCUCCGUGCAUUUUACCGUUUUUGAGACGUGCCUCGUGAUGAGAGAUUGAAAAAAAAAAGUGUACUAGUAGUACGUAUCCGUGAGGGAGGACGUGAAAGAAAGCGGAAUUUAGUCNNNNNNNNNNNNNNNNNNNNNNNNNNNNNNNNNNNNNNNNNNNNNNNNNNNNNNNNNNNNNNNNNNNNNNNNNNNNNNNNNNNNNNNNNNNNNNNNNNNNNNNNNNNNNNNNNNNNNNNNNNNNNNNNNNNNNNNNNNNNNNNNNNNNNNNNNNNNNNNNNNNNNNNNNNNNNNNNNNNNNNNNNNNNNNNNNNNNNNNNNNNNNNNNNNNNNNNNNNNNNNNNNNNNNNNNNNNNNNNNNNNNNNNNNNNNNGAAAGGCGCUGUGGCGUUUCUGCUCGCUUGCCGCGAUGGUGUUGGGGGGGUCUGCGCCGCUGAUUUGUGAAAUCAUGACGCCCACCCAGCCCAGAGCGUGUGCGCAUCGACGCCCACUACUGCCACUCGCUCUUUACUGGUAGAGUGAGUGAAAGCGUAGAUAAGAUUUUACUCGAAGAUCGAGGGUGAAAAGAUGCGGCGUCGUGUGUGUGUGUGGUGCGCUCAACCAUGCUACGACUCAAACUGUUUUGCAGCCAAGUGCUAGUACUAACUAUGGUGUAGUAGCGUAUGAACAAUGCAACAGUGCUUACUUACGACGGAUGAGUGGUCGUAUCAUCAAGCGAGCACUGCGCAGCGCCGACCGCGCCAUACGCAGGAGCUGUCAAGGAGUACUACAACGUUGUACAGGUGGUCCUCGUGUCGUGCUGCCCCGGUUUGGCACGCCAAUGCCGAUGCCAGUGCCCAUUGCCGUACCCCCAUCUACUGGCAAUGCCACCGCUGCUGCUCCCCCACCAUGCCCGCCCCAUCGUCAAGUGUACACGCAUUUUCGUUCUCGUCUCCUCGCCCAUAAACACGACCCCGGAAACCGUCGCCUCGGAGUCCACGUCGCGAGUGACAACGAGGAAGGCGACCGAUGAAUGCAACGCAGCGCGGGGUCCGUGUCAAUGUCAUGACUCGUGCAUGGCCAGGAGCGCAGUCACUCAUCCGUUCAUUUAACGCCCUAUCUAGACGAGGCCAAGCCGAGUCUGACGACCCCAAAGAUCUUUCUCCCCGGAUCACGGCGGCCGGCCCCCCACCAAUGCCGCCGCACGGAAACGGGCCGCGGGUCUUGUUGAUGGAUCUUUUACUUGCGGGACGGCACGGAACGGAAGAUUCAGCAAUGAUGCCGAUCGAUGCCCGUCCGUCCGUCCUGCUCUGCUGACGGCAACGUGGCCUGCAUGGCCCCCCGGUCUUCAUGGCGCUUUUGAUUAAGGGACGUGCAGUGCAGUGCAGUGCAGUGAUCCUCAAACUUGUGAUUUUAGUACGUACUCGGGCCGGGGUAGCUGCGACCUCGGCGUCUCGCGUGACGCUGGUCAAGGGGGUCAUAAACCUGAUUAGCUGAGGGGUCACAUGAUUAGUUCAAGGAAUUAGCUCAAAGUUCACGGUACCGGACGUGUCAUGCCGUCUUUUCCUCGUACCAUGAUGGAAUACUCCUCCAUGGUCCAUACGUCUAAGCAUGCUCGUCUUGGAUGAUAGAUGGAGCAACAAGGCUACGGGCCAUAUGCCCAGAAUUUGGGGCGCACGCAUGAGAGAGAGAGAGAGAGAGAGAGCCUGUAGGGCGCACAGUUCCUUCCAGAAUCUCGCCUUGCCACGCCCAAGGGAGCGCGGUGCCAAUAACGAGCUCCAAAACCGCGCGGAUCGCCAGGCCACUACCAACAGAGCCAGCUAGGCGACGUCGAGGCUCGGCGGGGCGCCGAUCAUCAUCAUCGGCAACCAUGUCCAUAUGUCACCGCGUGUGUCGGAUCGCUCACUGUGCGGCGUGCUACAGAAAGCUCACGAUGGAGCAGAUUAGGAGGGGAGGGGGGGCCGGGCCGGGCUCCCUCGGGGGACGGGGAGCACGCAGCUGAUUGGGAAGUUGCAUCGUGUCCCUCUGCGAUGUCCCCUGCCCGCGGCCUCCUGUCCAUCUCCGCCGCGGACCGGCCACUUGCCGCUGCUGUUUCGGUUGGGCCAGCGCCAUGAUGAGCCCCCGCCCUUCGCACGUCCCGGUCGCUCUCGUGUGCUACUAGUACACCACCGAGGGUGAGUGAGUGAGUGAGCUAUCCACCUACCAGCUCCUACGUUUGGUGGCUUCAUGUGAUCUGAGCGUACAUAUUUGCUCACCGGACUAAGUUUGAUCACGGUUCAGUGGAAUCAUCCUAAACAUUCCGUCUAGGGAAGUGUUGGUCUAUUUGCGUAUUUGGCAUGGCCGAAACGACGUGAUUUUGGAUGAAAGAAAAAAAAAGGCUUGAUGCCGAUUAAAACAAGUGGUCGUCGGAUAUGGCGGCUUGGCGUGAGAUCUGCGCAAGUGAAGCGAAAUACGCACCCCGCGCGAAUGAGAUCACAUUACAAAGCCGAAGGGGCAAUGUGGCACCGGCUUCCAAGAUUUCUACCUAUUUAACCAAUCCCUUGGCCCAACUCCACCGCGCGACUCUAUCCUGUCUGACCCCGUCCAUUUGGAGUAAAACGGAUAAAGGAGGCGGCCCAGCGCGCGACGGUCCGGACCCAUCUUGUCCGUUUUGUGUCCGGGCCAACCCAUUUCAAACGCAAACUUGCGCCGGGUUUGGGUCGCGGCGGACAGCAAACGGACGCGCGCUCGUCCGCGUCGGGGCCACGUGGCAGGCGGCCACCUACCUCCCACCCGCCCACAUCAAUGCGCACGAGCGGGCGGCCCCACCUGUCAUCCGCACGUCGAGCGGUCGCCGUCCUUUAAGUGGGAAGCGUGGACGGGUCGUCGUCCACACUGCCCCACGCCACCCCGCGGCCUCCUCGAAACCCGACAGCGGCGACCACGUCCCAAACCCUAGCCUAGACCUCGCCGGCCGGCCGCCCGGAGCCAUGGGCCUCUGGAACUACGGCCGCAAAGGCAGGCACGACCGCGAGGCCGGCUCCUCGUUGGGACGCCGCCGCGGCUCGGUGAAGAAGGAGGAGCCCGCCUCGCCAUCGCCACCACGUCGGGCCCCUGCGCCGCCCGCCUUCUCCAUCGCGCCCACGUCCGCCGGCGAGCGCGACCGGCAUUACGUCCGAGCGUCGGUGUGCCGUCGUUAUUGGGAGACGAGGACGCCGCUCCCCUGGAGCGACGCCCAUCUCCCCAAUAACUGGCACCUCUCCGCCGACCGGAUCCCCAUCCCGCCGGUCCCGACGAGCGGCCGUGCGCGCGACGAGGAGAUCGAGCGCCGCCGCCGCCUCCUCCCCGACGACCUAUUCUACGACGCCAGGUACGCCCCCGACUCCCCGCUGUGGGACACCUGGUUUCGUGACGAGCACGACACCAGGCGCGCCUCCUUCUUCGCCGGCACCUCGACGGGGCCGCGGCGGCCACGGGAGCGCGCCCAGGAGCGCGGGCGUAGGCGGGUCCGCGGCGUCAUGCCCACGCCGUCGCCGUCUCCGUCGCCCCCUCCACCUCCUCGCAUGUCAGCGGAGGAGGAGGCCCGUCUCCUCAAGCGUGUCAUGGACGACUCCAUGUACACGCACGACGAGCGGCAGUGGGACGGCCUGGAGGAGGCCAUGGCCCUCUCUGCCGCCAGGGACGUCGCCUUCCCGGAGCUCCAGAUGGUGGCCGUGGAGGACGAGAGGAGGGAGGACCCGCCGGCCGCGUUCCAGCAGCUGCUGGGCCAGGGGUGGUGCUGGUCCUGCACUGCUCCGGAGAUGUCCGCCGGCGUGGGCGUGAACUGGUGCCCCACUCCGCCGCGGUCACCGGAGCGGGAGGCCUCGCCACGGGAGAAGGUGGUGCAGGCCGUCCAGCCCGCCCCCGUCCACCACGCACCUCCGGCCCACCUGUGGACGCCGCCGGACUACGUCGACCUCGUCAGCGACGACGACGACACCGGCGGCCAGUGAAGACGGCGACGGCCACGGCACCGACGGGCGCGGCAGGAGCACGCGGGAUGUGGAGGCGUUUUUUAACUUUGUUUUAUAUGUUAAUUAUGAAAACCGGGCCUUUUAAGUGGCUGUGCAAACUGGGCCGUUUAAGUGGCCGUCCCCUAUAUAUGUUUUAUGUUUUUUUUAAAAUGCUUUUAUUUAGUUUUUUAGUUAUUUCAUUCUAGUUUUUUAUAUUUGUUUUAAUUCACGUCCACCCCGGACACGAUUUGGGAUGCGGCCGCGUGGUGCGCGCACGAACGACCCAUCUGACAAAGGCGGACACGGGUGAACCCAUCGGCGUCUCAAAGGGACAAAAUCCGGACAAUCCGGACGUCCGUUUGGGAUCAUGCGGAGGAGUUGGCCUUAUGUUGCGACAAGCAUGUCGACUCUCUAACCAUCGUUGAAAGCUUUUGUGUGCGGGUAGAGCGAAAUACUACUGCCCAAACGGUAGGCUGAAGGCCGGUAUUUUCAGCGCAAACCCCUCAUCCACAUGGCAGACAAUUUGUGAUGGACCCGAAUUAUUGGAGAAGGGGCCCAUUUAGCGAAUCGACAAUGGGCAAAAAGUGAGAAUUUGAAGAUAUCAGGAUCACGUGAGCACAGUCGUGUAUAGAGUGGUGUGGUGGCAGGAUCGGAGCUGGCCACGUUGGGUCGGAGCCGGAUACGUCGAUCUGUUAACCGGUGUUGAUAUGAGAGACUGUGAAGCAACUUCAACUUCAAUAUCAAACAUUGAGAAACUGUCUGACACCUGUUGGAGAUUUAUUAGAACUUGAGGAUAGCACCAAAUGCAUGAGUACAGUUGGUGUGCUUCUAUUCGUGGCUCUUACAAGGUUUGGCAUUGCUUCUUUGUAAACAAGAUAUGCUAAUAUUUGCAUGCUCCAAAAAGCUACCCAUCGGGCAUCAACUAAAAGGACCUUGGCAUAGAUUAAAUAAAAUUAUAAGUGCUUACUUGAUCUUUAGGUCACCAUCCACCUCAGUGAGUGCAUUUUUGGGCGCUAAUUGUGCAUGUUGUAUUGAUGAUAGAAGGUCAACACGUCGGUCUGCUAUAUUUUUUUGAGCAAACUUCAUAUCUUGGAAUGCCAUGAAACAUUCUACAGUCUCAAGAACAAGCAUAGACGACUCACCUGAAAUAAAGCACAAAAUAUGAAUACAAAGUGCUUGCAACUGGAACGUAUGAGAUUAUUUGGAUAUAAUCAUUGCUUAGUGAGCCUAUUGUUGGAAAUAUGAGCAAUUUACCAAAUGAUUUUAUUAACAAAAAUACUAGAUAAAGCAUGACUAAUAUAGUAGAGAUAAAACAAAUCAUGCGUUCUGACAGAGAGAAGGUAAAUAGCUUCUGCAUAUAUGAACCCUAGCCUAUCAACUCUAUAGCAGACAGUAGAACUAGUUGCAUAUAUGAGGUAGAACCUAACAUAUUUAGGGCAAGUACUAGUAUGAGAAACUGUGGCAGGAUAUCUAACAGAAAGAAGAACACAUACGGCACAGCAGCAGCAGUAGCACUAGACUUGGGGUCGGUGUCCUCGCCAGCCAUGUCGUCGAGGAGGUUGUCGAUGCCGGGGAAGAAGUCGUCGUCGGGGAAGUAGUCGUCGGAGUCCGGGGCGUCCGUGAUGAAGGAGUCAGCCAGUAGUCGCGCAGAACGCUCCCCAAAAACCUUAUCACCCUUCUCCCGUACAAGACUCAAAGAGGUGCGGUUUCGAAGGCCUACUGUCCCAACCUGCGGUGCACGCCGCAAGCCGGGAUGAGGAAGACAACAGCAGCUCAGAGAUUGGAACCGGUGGCGAGAGGAAGGAGAAGUUCUGGUGCGUCUCUCUGAGAGGAGCGACCUCCCUUUUAUAGACGCAAGAGAAGGAGUCGAGAGGUUGCGCCGGGAGCUGAAGGGAACGUGGGAGAUGAAACGAACUGACAACAGUCGAAGGGUGCAGCGUUCGUAUUCAAUAUCCACUACAGCAAAAACUUUCCAGCUCCCGAGUGACCUUUCGUAUACCCGGCGGGCGGCGGAGCAGCGCGCGUGGAUGUCCCUCUUGUUCUCAUGAUCAUACAAGUGGGGAAAGAACCUCCCUUAUAAGGAGGUCCAACUCCCACUAAACUAGCAAUGUUGGACUAAACUUUAGUAGUAUCCCUUACUUUGCACAAAUGGGUUAAGUGGGCCUCUAGAAUUUAUUAGGAAUUUCUGAAAUAGUUAUUGGGCUGCCCCCAAUAUAGACUAAAUUCCAGCAAUCCCCCACCAGAUCCUAGACGCACACAGAGAUUUGCCUUUGGUUCCAAAACACUGUUUUAUAUACCGGUACUGCAGCGGAGACUGUUAAGUUGAACUUCCACCUAGAACUCUAUGCUACACUAGUAAGCAACUUGAACAGUGGACUGGGCCUUGAACUGCAAGUUUUCUGCGAAUCUAGCUUCACAUAAAGCCUUGACCGAUACGUGGCUACCGUGGGUCUUCCCCGCGGGUGGAGCUUAUGCGUCAUACUCCGAGACCUUUCAUGAGUUACUAGAGAGAACCCUACUCUCAUAGAUUGCGACGUUUGACAAUCAGACUCAUAUAGGUGUGUUCUUCAAAAGAUGUUCUGCAGGACAACAUCUCUAUUUAAAUGAGCCACUUAGAACACAUUAAGAUAUACAUCAACCUGCCAUGAAGAUUAGGAGAGUAUUGCAUCUUCAUGGAGUGGUAUUGUUGAUAGUAAGGAUACUCUCCUCUCAGUUGACCAACAACUUGUCUUCCACAUCUAAUUCACGGGAUCUCCGAUCACAAAGAAUAGGUUACCACUGUGAACAACUCAUAUUGUGGGUCUCAUACCCAUCUCCCUCGAUGCAUUAUCUAUCACAUUACGUGAUAGACCCUUAGUAAAAGAAUCUGCCAGAUUUUUAGACGUUUGGAUAUAAUCCAAUGCAAUAACUCCAGAGUUUCUCAUUUUUCUGACAGACUUUAACCUUCUCUGAACGUGUCUUGAUGACUUCAUGUUAUCCUUUAAGCUGCUCACUUUCGUGAUCACAGUUUGAUUGUCGCAGUUCAUAAGAAUAUGUGGUACAGGUUUCUCAACAACCAGCAAGUCAUUCAAGAGCCGACGAAGCCAAUCUGCUUCGACCGUAGCUGUAUCUAGUGUUGUGAGUUCUGCUUCCAUUGUUGACCUCGUUAAGAUGGUAUGCUUGCAAGACUUCCAAGAAACAGCGUCACCUCCAUGAGUGAAUACAUAUCCGCUCGUGGCCUUUAUCUCAUCAGCAUCUGAGAUCCAAUUUGAGUCACUAUACCCUUCAAGCACCUUUGGGUGCCCGGUGUAGUGAAUUCCAUAAUUUGCAGUGCCUUUCAAAUAACGCAAAACUCUCUCUAGAGCUUUCCAAUGCACAUCUCCUGGUUUUGAGACAAACCGACUCAGUUUGCUAACAGCAAAAGAGAUGUCAGGUCUUGUAGCACUGGCUAAGUACAUAAGCGAGCCAAUAAUCUGAGAAUAUUUCAAUUGAUCUCUAGCAAUUCUUCGAUUCUUUCGAAGUAACACACUCGCAUCAUAUGGUGUUGGAGAGGGCUUGCAGUCACUGUAGCCAAAGCGACUCAAGAUCUUUUCCACAUAGUGAGAUUGAAGCAAUGUAAUCCCACCAUCAUCGUCUCUCAACAACUUGAUGUUCAGAAUGACAUCAACCACUCCUAAAUCCUUCAUCUCAAAAUAACGAGACAGAAAUUUUUUGAACUCCUUCAUAACAUUCAGAUUUGUUCCGAAAAUCAGUAUGUCAUCAACAUACAAGCAAAGGAUAACUCCCUGGCCCCCACCAUGGCGAUAGUACACACAUUUGUCAGCUUCGUUUACAACAAAGCAUGCAGUUGUUAAAGUAUUUUCAAACUUCUCAUGCCACUGUUUGGGUGCUUGCUUGAGUCCAUACAAAGACUUUAGCAACUUGCACACUUUUUCUUCCUGACCAUCUAGUACAAACCCAUCUGGUUGUUCCAUAUAAAUUUCCUCGUCCAACUCUCCAUUUAGGAAAGCAGUCUUAACAUCCAUUUGAUGAACGAGAAGACCAUGCGAGGCAGCUAGUGAAAGUAGAACUCGAAUAGUGGUCAGUCGAGCCACAAGUGAGUAAGUAUCAAAAAAGUCUUCACCUUCCUUUUGGGUAUAACCCUUAGCCACGAGCCGAGCCUUGUACUUUUCAAUAGUACCAUCAGGCCUAAGCUUCUUCUUGAAUACCCAUUUACAUCAUAUAGGUUUGCACCCAUCAGGAUGAUCAGUUAUCUCCCAAGUUUCAUUCGCCAAGAUGGAAUCCAUCUCGCUACGAACCGCUUCCUUCCAGUAGUCAGCAUCUUCAAAUGCAUAAGCCUCUGAAAUAGAACUGAGAGUGUCAUCUAUGAGAUACACAAGAAAAUCAUCACCAAAGGACUUUGCAGUCCUCUGUCUCUUGCUCCUAGUAGGAACUUCAUUGUUUUCCUCCACAGGACUUUCAAAGUGUUCUAUCGAAAUGGCAGGUUUGGUAAUUGUAACUGGUUCCUAAUUCGAUGAACUAGGCAUCUCCUGAUUAGAUGAGGUAGCCAUAUCCUUCAUGGGAAAAAUAUCUUCAAAGAAAGUCGCAUCAUUCGACUCCAUGAUCAUACCGACAUGCAUGUCAGGUACCUCAGAUUUUACAACCAAGAAUCUAUAGCCAAUGCUAUGAAAAGCAUAUCCCAGGAAAACACAAUCCACAUUCUUUGGUCCAAGCUUCCGCUUCUUUGGAAUUGGAACAUUGACUUUCGCCAAACAACCCCAUGUUCGCAGAUAAUAGAGUUUUAACAUUUUCUUCUCCCAUUCCUCUAAUGGAGUUAUCUCUUUGUUCUUUGUGUGGGCUCGGUUCAGGACAUGACAUGCGGUCAAUAUCGCCUCCCCCCUCCAUGCCUUGGAGAGACCCGAUGUGUCUAACAUGGCAUUAACCAAAUCAGUUAGAGUAUGGUUCUUUCUUUCGGCCACCCCAUUUGACUGAGGUGAGUAGGGAGGCGUCCUCUCAUGGAUUAUACCAUGUUUCGCACAAAAAGCAUCAAAUUCAUUGGAAAAAUACUCUCCACCACGGUCGGACCUAAGCCUCUUGAUUUUUCGAUCAAGUUGGUUUUCCACUUCAGCUUUAUAGAUCUUGAAAAAGUUCAAAGCCUCAUCCUUAGAUUUCAGAAGAUACACACGACAGUAUCUAGUGGAGUCGUCAAUUAACAUCAUGAAAUAUUUCUUUCCACCUUUUGUCAAAACACCAUUCAUUUCACAUAGAUCUGAAUGUAUGAGCUCUAGUGGUGCAAGAUUUCUCGUUUCCGCAGUCGUGUGAGACUUACGAGGUUGCUUAGCUUGCACACAAACUUGACACUUAGAUCCCUUGACAGUGGUGAAACUAGGGAUUAAGUUCAACUUUGCUAGUCGCGACAUGCAAUCAAAAUUAACAUGACAGAGACGUGAAUGCCACACAUUGGAUUCACUAUUGUUGCAAAUAUGAUUAACAACUUUAUUGCAAACAUCUGAUAAGGAUAAACGAAACAGACCUCCUGAAUCAUAGCCUUUACCAACAAAGGUUUCAUACUUGGAUAUUACAAAUUUAUUCGACUCAAAGACAAGCUUGUAGCCAUCUCUACACAGAAGAGAUCCGCUAACAAGAUUUUUAUAGAGGGGACAUAAUGCACGUUCUUCAGCCGCACGAUCUUCCCCGAAGUAAACUUCAGAUUGACCGUGUCAAAACCACGAACUGAAGCACUUGAACCGUUGCCCAUCAUCACGGUUGAAGUCCCUGCGGUCUGAUAAGAUGAAAACAUGGAAAUAUCACCGCAUACAUGCACAUUAGCACCCGUGUCAAUCAACCAAUCAGGAGAAUGACAUACUGAAAGAAUAGUGGGAAAUAUACCAUACCCAUCAUCCUUCAUGUCAGUGUCUCCAAUGACAACAUUAGCGGUCUUGCCGCCUUUCCCAGGGUGAUGCUUGUCAUAGCAAUUAGGGCAACUAGGAGCCCAAUGAUCAGGAUCCCCACACACAUGACAGACACAUUUCUUCUUGUCAUUCUUCUUCUUGAAGUUUGUGUGUUGCACAACUUUGUUCUUCCCAUCAAACUUUGCUUUACCAUCAAACUUGCCCUUGUUCUUGAACUUGUGGGGUUGGAAGUUCUUCUUCUGUACCAGAUCCUCCCUCAAUACCUCGAGCACGUGUGUCCUUUGCUCUGGCCUUUUCUUCCACAUCAAGAGUGCCAAUGAGAUCCGGGACGGAAAACUCUUGUCUCUUAUGCUUCAGCAAGGUAGCAAAGUUCCUCCAUGAAGGAGGAAGCUUAGUGAUGAUACCUCCGGCAACAAACUUGUCCGGUAGCAUACAACCGAAGUGCUCAAGUUCUCUAGCAAAUGACUGUAUCUCAUGAGUUUGCUCAACCACGGAGCGCUCUUCAGUCAUCCUGUAGUCAUAGAAUUGCUCCAUGAUGUACAACUCAGUGCCAGCAUCCGAGACCCCAAACUUGGCCUCGAGUGCAUCCCACAUAUCUUUUCCAUUAUCAAUUGACGCAUAAGCAUCAACUAUGUUCUCACCAAGAACACUCAAGAGAGCAUCCUUAAACAGAGUAUCCAUUUUCUGAAAGGCUUGUGCCUGUUGAGCAUCAAGCUCCCCUUCAGGUUUGCCGAGAGUGGCGUCAUAGCAACUCAUGGUUUGAAACCAUAAGACUGCUAUCACGCGCCACCUCUUAUAGUGGAUACCCUCAAACAUAGGAGGUCUCACGGAAGCAGCAAAACCACUUAGGGUAAAUUGCCUAUAAUAAGGUUUUUGGAUUGUUGGAAAUAUAAGCAAUUUACCAAAUGAUUUUAUUAACAGAAAUACUAGAUAAAGCAUGACUAAUAUAGUAGAGAUAAAACAAGUCAUGCGUUCUGACAGAGAGAAGGUAAAUAGCUUCUGCAUAUAUGAACUGUAGCCAAUCAUAUCUAUAGCAGACAGUAGAACUAGUUGCAUAUAUGAGGUAUAACCUAACAUAUUUAGGGCAAGUACUAGUACGAGAAACCGUGGCAGGAUAUCUAACAGAAAGAAGAACACAUACGGGACAACAGCAGCAGUAGCACUGGACUUGGGGUCGGUGUCCUCGCCAACCAUGUCGUCGAGGAGGUUGUCGACGUCGGGGAAGAAGUCGUCGUCGGGGAAGUAGUCGUCGGAGUCCGGGGCGUCCGUGAUGAAGGAGUCAGCCAGUAGUCGCACAGAGCGCUCCCCAAAAACCUUAUCACCCUUCUCCCGUACAAGACUCAAAGAUGUGCGGUUUCGGAGGCCUACUGUCCCGACCUGCGGUGCACUCCGCAAGCCGGGAUGAGGAAGAGAACAACAGCUCAGAGAUUGGAACCGAUGGUGAGAGAAAGGAGAAGUUCUGGUGCGUCUCUCUGAGAGGAGCGACCUCCCUUUUAUAGGCGCAAGAGAAGGAGGCGAGAGGCUGCGCCGGGAGCUGAAGGGAACGCGGGAGAUGAAACGAACAGACAACAGCCGAAGGGUGCAGUGUUCGUAUUCAAUAUCCACUACAGCAAAAACUUUCCAGAUCCCGAGUGACCUUUUGUAUACCCGUAGUGCAUGGCAAAAAUUUAGAUAUCGGCUCGGCUCAUUCCCACAACCCGCGGCGCGGCGCGUCGUGACGCAGCGGGCGGCGGAGGAGGAGCGCGCGUGGAUGUCCCUCUUGUUCUCAUGCUCAUACAAGUGGGGAAAGAAUCUCCCUUAUAAGGAGGUCCAACUCCCACUAAACUAGCAAUGUGGGACUAAACUUUAGUAGUAUUCCUUGCUUUGCACAAAUGGGCUAAGUGGGCCUCUAGGAUUUAUUAGGAAUUUCUGAAAUAGUUAUUGGGCUGCCCCCAAUAUAGACUAAAUUCCAGCACCUAUCCCAUGGCUAUAAUCAACUUGUCUCUAGUAUGACAAUUUUGGCACCACAUACUUAUCAACUUAUCAUAUGUUACAUGUUGUAAAAAACAUGGAAAUUGACUUCCACUUUGUUAGAUAAAUAAUUGCCCGGAAGUUGUUGGCAUUCGGUUUAUAUUCCUGAAAUGACCAAGUAGCAUACGAUUUUAUCAAGGUUCUUCCAGUAUGAAGCUUGGAAGAACUUCAGGUGUAAUUUCAACCAGUCAAACUCAUGAUGAAAAGAUGAUGUUUGAACUAGAUAACUGGAAUAUGUUGUACCAAUUGUAUUGUAUCAAAGUUGGUUCUAGAUAAAACCGGUCUAUAUUGUAAACGAAUGCAACAUCAACUUACACAACAAGGCUUGCAAAAAAUCGCUGUAAAUUAUAAUUGGCUUAUGGUUCCUAUUAGUAAAGGUAACUCAACCCCUACGAAAGUAACACGCUUCAAUGAAAUAAGAACAAAGCUCCAGUCUCGAAAAAAAAACAAUUGUUUGUUGUUGUUGAGAAAACAACACAGGCUUUCUAUAGUUCAGUACAAGAAUAAAAAAUAUAUUAGAAGUACCUCGGUUUCUAUGGGCAAACGACCCCCCCCCCCUUAUGGGACAAGUGGACUAUUCGAAGAAUAAGAAACAACAUGACAACAUAAGUAAAUUGUCUUGUAUGCACUUGACCGCAAUUGGAUCAGAACCUCCUCCAUCUCAAUGGAGAGUCUAAUCUAGCCAAUAUCUUUGCACAUUGUCUGUUUUUUUUCUAAAUUUUAUAUACCCAUUGGCCUCACUGAUAGGGUAAGUGCACAUUUUCAUGCCCAUGGGUAGUGCCCAAAUGCUACCCGACUAGUCAUGACUAAGGCAUGGGUAUAAUUGUAUGCCCAUGGGUACGUUCAAACCCGACCCACCGAUCUUAUAGGUGGAUCACAUGUGCUAUAAACCUAAAAUAUCAAGUAUCAAUAUAAGGCAUGAAUCACUAGACAUACAUACCAUAGUCUACCUCUCGAUGGCGUCAAUGAACCAAGCAACUACGCCACCACCCUUCAAUGAUGUGUUGAUAUGCCUAAUGGGUGUCCAUCGAGAAUCGAUACCCGUUGGAUAUAAGCACGGGCAUGGAUUUGUGCAUGAUGGAUAGAAUUUUACGCCCAUGAGAAACAUGGGUAUGGCUAUGCGAUUAUUGUGCCUGCAUCAUACUCUACCUACUGCCAUCUUUAGAACUGCUACAUUUGGAGAGUGAUACCAAUGAUGUUUUUGCCCAUCUAAAAGGCCCAUUGUCGUGAAAAAAUCAAUGAGGCCAAUAUUCCAAUGGUUACCUUCGGCCCAUUCCACUCUUAUUCGCCUUAGUUUAUAUGUUGUUCUAGCCUCUCACCCAGGCUCACAGUUGUUAGUAUUGGCAUGAUCUAGACUGCACCCACAUACCAACACUGGUCUUUACCGCACACUUUGUCCUCAUUCAUGCGUAUGCAAAAAGAACUUCACGGUCACUGAAGUAACUUGAAGAUGAGUUUUCCAAAAAAGAAGACGCAUCUUGUUUAUAUGACUAGUCUAUCAUUCCUUUAAGCCAGGAUGUCACACAGAGUAGUGGUUGCACCCAACUUCAGUGCACCCACGAAGUGAACAGUUAAUUUAAAAAAAUAGGAAAAAAAAACUUGAAACUUCAAGGAUGUGAUUAUGAGAAAAUGUUUUUUAAGCUUGCAAAGUUUGGUCACCAAAAAACAUCAAUGAUCUCCAUACAAAACGAAAUACAAAAAAUGCUCUGCACCCAAGUUACUAUUCAUAUGUUUUCAGCACAAACUGCAGCUCGUCGGUUGUCAUUUCACCACCAAAUUUUGCAAGCGCCUAAAACAUUGGUCAAAAUCGCAUCCACGAAAUUUCAUAAUUUUUUAUAUGUUUUUCUAAGGUUUUGAACGUGGGUGCACAAAAACCACACUUUUAAGCUAGGAUGUCAUACAGAGUAUCCAGAGAAAAUGUUUGUUUAUGAUCAAAAGGCUGGUGGGCCACACAUUUUGGCUAAGUUUAGUCCAGUCAUCGUUCGUGCUAGGUCGUUGGUUUCGGGGCUUCUUUGUGGACUUAUCCCAACUCUCCUCAUUAUAAAAGAAAAUAUUUGCUCCCGCGUCGCGGGCAUAGGUCCAUUUCUAGGCUGAACUUCUACAACAUGUGUAUUUUUUUCUAAAUCGAGGGCUUGUUUGGUUCAUGGAAAAAGGACAGGAAUCGGCGAUUUUCUAUAAGCACCAUUGAGACAUCUGGUUCAAAGGAAUGCCACAAAGGGAAAGAGGGGGAAUUUGUUUUUGGUGUCACUUUCAAAGGAUAAAAAUGUAUUUUACGAUCUAACUUACCUCUUUGUAGAAUUCCUAUUUAUGAAGUGCCAAACCAGAAUCUUUAUUGAUAUUAUAUCAUCUUAAUUACACCUUUUCAUUUUUCCUAUAGACAUUUGAAAGUGUUGUUUGCUUUUAAAAACGUCUUAUAUUGUGGGACGGAGGGAGUAUGAAUCAUGGGCAGCAUAAUGUAUAUAAUCUUUAUACAUGGGAGAGUACGGUAUCUUGGCUUUUGGAUAGUGAGAGCUGAGAAAAAACAUGGGCAUGUUGUAAAAAAAGUGUCCUAUUUUUUACAUCCCCUAGGAGAAUUUUUUCUGCUUUUUUUGUUUCUAUUCCUACAAAAGGUGGAUCCGACGUAACAAUUACGGGGACACGGCCUAUAUAAUUGUUACAAAUGAGAGAGUACGGGGGUUUGGCCUUUAGGAUGGUGAGUGCUCAAGGAAAACAUGCAUACAUUGCCAGAAAAGCACUAUUUCUAGAUGUAGAAGAGAAGUCAUUCCGUGACGGGGUUCAUUUGUACCGAAUUCUCACGUUCUUGAAAUAAAGAGUUCUCUUCUCGUUGGUUCUCAUGGAAUCCCCAAGAGUAGCCAGUAUGCUACGGUUGUACUAUUAUGAUGGGUGGGUUGUUGGUGGAGAGAUGUUUCACUAAUGGUAUGCCCAAGAGUAGGACACUACGCCACUACAUGUACAAGGUUCGCCGCACAAAGUACUCUUAUGAACAUGGAGUAAACUGUUUAAGAACGAGCAUUUUUUGCAUGGGCAUGUGUACCCGACUCGCAUGACUCUAAUUAUAUGCCCAUGAGUAGAGGCCAGGAUUUAGACACAUUUACGUGCCCAUGGUAGAGGCUAGGGUUUAAACACAUUUACCCCAUGAGUAGGGCACGGGUCUAAUUAUGUGUCCAUGGGAAUGAAUAAAAGGCUGCUGGACCCACACAUGUUGGCUAAGUUAAGUCUAUGGUACUUCUGAUUGUGCGGUCACAGUUCAUGCUAAGCAUUUCUUUCGCCGCCUCUUUGUAAACUUAUCCUUUCGGCCCUCAUUUAAAAUAAAAAUAUGUUGGCCCCUACACGGCAUAUGUCCAUUUCUGGGUUGAACUUCUACAUCAUGUGUAUUUCUUUUUUUUUCUCUUUCUAAAUUGAGGGCUUGUUUGGUUCAUGGAAAAAGUAUAGGAAGAGGAAUUUUUCUAUAAGAACCAUUCACUCAUUUGGUUCAAAGGAAUACCACAAAGGAAUAGUCGAGAAUUUUUUUGGUCUUGCUUUCAAAGGAAAAAAAAUGCAAUUUACAAUCUAAUUUGACCUCUUUGUUGAUUUCCUUUUUAUGAAGUACCUAACGGGAGUCUUCAGUGACAUGGUACUAUCAUCUUAAUUGUACCUUUUUAUAUGGUUUGACUUAUAUUUAUUGUAUUCAGUGGAAUUCCUGUGUUUUUUCUCUGUUAUGGUGAACCAAACACGUAAGUUUACAUAAUUCUUAUGUUUUCCAGUCCACCGUUUUGCACCAUAGUGUUUCCAUGUUUUUUCCUAUUCAUACAGACAUUGAAAGUAGCAAUCACAGGCAACACGGUGUAUAUAAUCUUUUUGCAUCGGAGAGCACGGGAGUUUGGCCUCUAGGAUGGUGAUAGCUGAAGAAAAAACGUGCACAUUUUGUAGGAAAAAAAAACACUACAUUUACAUAGCCUAGGAGAAACGUUUUCCUGCAUUUCCACCCCUUACUCCUACGGAUGUCGAAAGUAGCAAUUAUGGGGACACACGCGUAUAUAAUUGUACGCAUGAGAGAGUACGGGGGUUUGGCCUUUAGGGCGGUGAGAGUUCAAGGAAAACGUGCAUAUUUUGUCAAAGAAGCACUGUUUCUAGACGCGCAAGAGAAGUCACCCCGUGACGGUGUUCGUUUUGGACCGAAAUUCUCACGUUCUUGAAAUAAAGAGUCCUCCUCUCGUGGGUUCUGACGAAGUCGCCCAAGAUUAGCACGUAGUAGUACGUAU